GGGGGAGUAGCUCAGCUGGUUAGAGUGCUACGUUGACAUCGUAGAGGUCAGCGGUUCGACUCCGCUCUCCCCCACCA
This 77-nucleotide transfer RNA is filed under the name Bacillota bacterium. Its description in RNAcentral is "Firmicutes bacterium (anaerobic digester metagenome) tRNA-Val". It matches the Rfam family "tRNA". Rfam says of the family: Transfer RNA (tRNA) molecules are approximately 80 nucleotides in length. Their secondary structure includes four short double-helical elements and three loops (D, anti-codon, and T loops). Further hydrogen bonds mediate the characteristic L-shaped molecular structure. tRNAs have two regions of fundamental functional importance: the anti-codon, which is responsible for specific mRNA codon recognition, and the 3' end, to which the tRNAs corresponding amino acid is attached (by aminoacyl-tRNA synthetases). tRNAs cope with the degeneracy of the genetic code in two manners: having more than one tRNA (with a specific anti-codon) for a particular amino acid; and 'wobble' base-pairing, i.e. permitting non-standard base-pairing at the 3rd anti-codon position. The record is from RNAcentral. Lineage: Bacteria; Bacillati; Bacillota.